This 253-nucleotide ribosomal RNA is filed under the name uncultured bacterium. Its description in RNAcentral is "partial 16S ribosomal RNA". It matches the Rfam family "Bacterial small subunit ribosomal RNA", at positions 524 to 776 of the family's 1533-position model. The record is from RNAcentral.
UACGUAGGGUGCAAGCGUUAAUCGGAAUUACUGGGCGUAAAGCGUGCGCAGGCGGCUAUGCAAGACAGAUGUGAAAUCCCCGGGCUCAACCUGGGAACUGCAUUUGUGACUGCAAGGCUGGAGUACGGUAGAGGGGGAUGGAAUUCCGCGUGUAGCAGUGAAAUGCGUAGAUAUGCGGAGGAACACCGAUGGCGAAGGCAAUCCCCUGGACCUGUACUGACGCUCAUGCACGAAAGCGUGGGGAGCAAACAGG